Molecule: ribosomal RNA, 424 nt
Filed under: uncultured bacterium
Lineage: Bacteria
Description: bacterial SSU rRNA
Rfam family: Bacterial small subunit ribosomal RNA
Source: RNAcentral
UAGGGAAUAUUGGUCAAUGGACGCAAGUCUGAACCAGCCAUGCCGCGUGAAGGAUGAAGGCCCUCUGGGUUGUAAACUUCUUUUCUACGGGAAUAAACCCCUCUACGUGUAGAGGGCUGAAGGUACCGUGGGAAUAAGGAUCGGCUAACUCCGUGCCAGCAGCCGCGGUAAUACGGAGGAUCCAAGCGUUGUCCGGAUUUAUUGGGUUUAAAGGGUGCGUAGGCGGACUACUAAGUCAGGGGUGAAAGCCGGCAGCUUAACUGUCGAAUUGCCUUUGAAACUGGUAGUCUUGAAUAUAGUUGAGGUGGGCGGAAUGUGACAUGUAGCGGUGAAAUGCUUAGAUAUGUUACAGAACACCGAUUGCGAAGGCAGCUCACUAAGCUAUGAUUGACGCUGAGGCACGAAAGCGUGGGGAUCAAACAGG